AAUACGUUCCCGGGCCUUGUACACACCGCCCGUCAAACCAUGGAAGUUGGAAGUGCCUAAAGUGCGUAACCGCAAGGAGCGCCCUAGGGCAAAGCCGAUAACUGGGGCU
RNAcentral lists this ribosomal RNA (109 nucleotides) under uncultured bacterium. RNAcentral's name for it is "partial 16S ribosomal RNA". It matches the Rfam family "Bacterial small subunit ribosomal RNA", at positions 1365 to 1482 of the family's 1533-position model. The record is from RNAcentral.